UACGGGGGGGGUAAGCGUUGUUCGGAAUUACUGGGCGUAAAGAGCUCGUAGGCGGUCUGUCGCGUCGGUCGUGAAAACUUGGGGCUUAACCCUGAGCUUGCGGUCGAUACGGGCAUGACUGGAGUUCGGCAGGGGAGACUGGAAUUCCUGGUGUAGCGGUGAAAUGCGCAGAUAUCAGGAGGAACACCGGUGGCGAAGGCGGGUCUCUGGGCCGAUACUGACGCUGAGGAGCGAAAGCGUGGGGAGCGAACAGG
Molecule: ribosomal RNA, 254 nt
Filed under: uncultured bacterium
Lineage: Bacteria
Description: partial 16S ribosomal RNA
Rfam family: Bacterial small subunit ribosomal RNA
Source: RNAcentral